Molecule: ribosomal RNA, 442 nt
Filed under: uncultured bacterium
Lineage: Bacteria
Description: partial 16S ribosomal RNA
Rfam family: Bacterial small subunit ribosomal RNA
Source: RNAcentral
CCUACGGGAGGCAGCAGUAGGGAAUCUUUCACAAUGGGCGAAAGCCUGAUGGAGCAACGCCGCGUGCAGGAUGAAGGCCUUCGGGUUGUAAACUGCUUUUAUAAGCGAGAAAUAUGAUGGUAACUUAUGAAUAAGGAUCGGCUAACUACGUGCCAGCAGCCGCGGUCAUACGUAGGAUCCGAGCAUUAUCCGGAGUGACUGGGUGUAAAGAGUUGCGUAGGUGGCAUAAUAAGUAGCUAGUGAAAUCUGGUGGCUCAACCAUUCAGACUAUUAGCUAAACUGUUAAGCUCGAGACCGUUAGGGGUAACUGGAAUUUCUAGUGUAGGAGUGAAAUCCGUAGAUAUUAGAAGGAACACCAAUAGCGUAGGCAGGUUGCUGGGACGGUUCUGACACUAAGGCACGAAAGCGUAGGGAGCAAACGGGGUUAGAUACCCGUGUAGUC